Molecule: ribosomal RNA, 460 nt
Filed under: uncultured bacterium
Lineage: Bacteria
Description: partial 16S ribosomal RNA
Rfam family: Bacterial small subunit ribosomal RNA
Source: RNAcentral
CCUACGGGAGGCAGCAGUGAGGAAUAUUGGUCAAUGGACGCAAGUCUGAACCAGCCAUGCCGCGUGCAGGAAGACGGCUCUAUGAGUUGUAACCUUCUUUUGUACGGGGGUAAACGCAGAUACGCGUAUCUGUCUGAAAGUAUCGUACGACUAAGGAUCGGCUAACUCCGUGCCAGCAGCCGCGGUAAUACGGAGGAUUCAAGCGUUAUCCGGAUUUAUUGGGUUUAAAGGGUGCGUAGGCGGUUGGUUAAGUUAGAGGUGAAAUCCCGAGGCUCAACUUCGGAAUUGCCUCUGAUACUGUUCGGCUAGAGAGUAGUAGCGGUAGGCGGAAUGUAUGGUGUAGCGGUGAAAUGCUUAGAGAUCAUACAGAACACCGAUUGCGAAGGCAGCUUACCAAGCUACUUCUGACGUUGAGGCACGAAAGCGUGGGGAGCAAACAGGAUUAGAUACCCCAGUAGUC